GCAAGUCGAACGAGAAACCUAUCUUCGGAUAGGGAGUAAAGUGGCGCACGGGUGAGUAACGCGUGAGUAACCUACCUCCGCUGUUCGGGAUAACGUCGGGAAACUGGCGCUAAUACCAGAAUGAAGUCUCCGGCUGCAGGGUUUGGAGACCAAAGCAGGCCUCUCCAUGGAAGCUUGCGCAGGGAGAUGGGCUCGCGUCCCAUUAGCUAGUUGGUAGGGUAAAAGCCUACCAAGGCGACGAUGGGUAGCCGGGCUGAGAGGCUGUCCGGCCACACUGGAACUGAAACACGGUCCAGACUCCUACGGGAGGCAGCAGUGAGGAAUUUUGCGCAAUGGACGAAAGUCUGACGCAGCGACGCCGCGUGGGCGACGAAGCUCUUUGGAGUGUAAAGCCCUGUCAGGUGGGACGAAUCCGGAGGGAGUGAACAACUCGCCUUCGCUGACGGUACCACCAGAGGAAGCCCCGGCUAACUCCGUGCCAGCAGCCGCGGUAAUACGGAGGGGGCGAGCGUUGUUCGGAAUCACUGGGUGUAAAGGGUGCGUAGGCGGUCCGAUAAGUCUGAUGUGAAAGCCCUGGGCUCAACUCAGGAACUGCAUUGGAAACUGACGGGCUUAGAGUACCGGAGAGGGAAGCGGAAUUCCUGGUGUAGCGGUGAAAUGCGUAGAUACCAGGAGGAACACCGGUGGCGAAGGCGGUUUCCUGGCCGAGUACUGACGCUGAGGCACGAAAGCGUGGGGAGCGAACGGGAUUAGAUACCCCGGUAGUCCACCCUGUAACGAUGGGUGCUAGGUGUUGGAGGUAUCGA
Molecule: ribosomal RNA, 806 nt
Filed under: uncultured Pseudomonadota bacterium
Lineage: Bacteria; Pseudomonadati; Pseudomonadota
Description: bacterial SSU rRNA
Rfam family: Bacterial small subunit ribosomal RNA
Source: RNAcentral